RNAcentral lists this ribosomal RNA (576 nucleotides) under Enterobacter sp. DJM5B5. Its description in RNAcentral is "bacterial SSU rRNA". It matches the Rfam family "Bacterial small subunit ribosomal RNA", at positions 899 to 1476 of the family's 1533-position model. Lineage: Bacteria; Pseudomonadati; Pseudomonadota; Gammaproteobacteria; Enterobacterales; Enterobacteriaceae. The record is from RNAcentral.
ACUCAAAUGAAUUGACGGGGGCCCGCACAAGCGGGGAGCAUGUGGUUUAAUUCGAUGCAACGGAAGAACCUUACCUACUCUUGACAUCCAGAGAACUUAGCAGAGAUGCUUUGGUGCCUUCGGGAACUCUGAGACAGGUGCUGCAUGGCUGUCGUCAGCUCGUGUUGUGAAAUGUUGGGUUAAGUCCCGCAACGAGCGCAACCCUUAUCCUUUGUUGCCAGCGGUCCGGCCGGGAACUCAAAGGAGACUGCCAGUGAUAAACUGGAGGAAGGUGGGGAUGACGUCAAGUCAUCAUGGCCCUUACGAGUAGGGCUACACACGUGCUACAAUGGCGCAUACAAAGAGAAGCGAACUCGCGAGAGCAAGCGGACCUCAUAAAGUGCGUCGUAGUCCGGAUUGGAGUCUGCAACUCGACUCCAUGAAGUCGGAAUCGCUAGUAAUCGUAGAUCAGAAUGCUACGGUGAAUACGUUCCCGGGCCUUGUACACACCGCCCGUCACACCAUGGGAGUGGGUUGCAAAAAGAAGUAGGUAGCUUAACCUUCGGGAGGGCGCUUACCACUUUGUGAUUCAUGACU